RNAcentral lists this long non-coding RNA (1155 nucleotides) under Musa acuminata (dwarf banana). RNAcentral describes it as "long non-coding RNA (MACU_LNC000993)". Lineage: Eukaryota; Viridiplantae; Streptophyta; Magnoliopsida; Zingiberales; Musaceae. The record is from RNAcentral.
CACUGCCUCGAUGAACUUCGCAAGGAUAACAGACUCAAUGUGCGAUUCUGCAAGUGUCAAAAGAUGAUUUAAACAUCUGUUCCAUGCACCAAAUCCCCCGAGUGUUUGGCUGUGCUUCUGAAGCCGCAUAGCAACGCUUUGAAGUAGUCGAGAGGUUCGAUACUGAAUGAAGAAGCUUGUGAGUAGCUAAUUAAUGAGAUGAAACACUAUCACAAGAAACAUGUCACACUGGAAGUAUGAAAGUGCAGCUGACCCGAAAAGCAUCCAGUUGGAAGCUAGGAUUCCGCAAAUGAUCUGUUCCUUCCCACCGAGCAGUGACUGGAUUCGACUGUGACAAAUAUGAAGCCAUAGAAUCUCUCAAGUAGUUCCAUGUUACUGCAAGGGUCCCUCCUUGAAACUUCUCUCUAUAUUGCUUUAAGAGGUCUGCUGCAACCUGCAAUAAAGGAUAAGAAAUGCUCAAAACACACCACCAUUAGACAAAUACUGUGCAAGUUGGAGUUGUUACCUGUUGCAGCAGAACUGUGUUGUCCCCUUCAAAAGUUUGAAAUAUAUCAUGGUCAUUCCGCAGGAUGCCAAAACGAUUCACAGCAGCAUAACCAUGGCCGCCACAAGCUUCUCGGCAUGUGCUAAUGGAUUUAGCUGUAUAUGAUGUCACAUAAGCUUUCAGACCAGCUGAAAGACAAUGGACAUCGCUAACAACAGCAUCAUCAUGUGCCUUCUUCAUUUCGGAAUACUUGUCCACCAAGUGAAGUGUUGCAAAGUGGAAGGCAUAUGCGGAUGCCAGCAUAGGCAUGAGCUUGUGCUGCUGAGAUUGGUAAUCCAGUAUGGAGACCUCUGGCUCCUUCGGAGGUCCAAAUUGCUGGCGAAGCAGAGAGUAUCUCACGGCGAUAGUAACUGCAAUCUUGAGAAUACCUACAGAGGAAUAUGCAAGGGCAACUCUACCUCCAACAAGCUCCCCUAAAGUAGCUGCAAAUCUUUUAUUGAUAGUCGGAAGACUACUCGUGUACUUUCCGUCGCGUGAGACAUCUCCAAAUCGGUUGAGUAGGUUAUCUCGAGGAAUUCUCACGGAACGAAACCUCAAAGCACCAUUAUCUACCCCAUUCAAGCCAACUUUGUGACCGCAAUCAUGAAUCUCGAUCCCAGGAAGAACUGAGU